This 208-nucleotide non-coding RNA is filed under the name Aminobacter sp. Lineage: Bacteria; Pseudomonadati; Pseudomonadota; Alphaproteobacteria; Hyphomicrobiales; Phyllobacteriaceae. The record is from RNAcentral.
UGUAGCCACAUCUCCGAUGGUUCCUGCUGCCUGACUCGGGCAGCGGAUUAAAUGGGAACACGGUAAGACGUCUCGACGCGAAACCGUGGCUGCCCCCGCAACUGUGAGCGGAUAGCAAAUCGGAAAAUGCCACUGGCCGGAAGGCCGGGAAGGCUCCGAGGCGCAGAAACCCGCAAGCCAGGAGACCUGCCAUCAUCCGAUUAACUCA